RNAcentral lists this long non-coding RNA (337 nucleotides) under Bos taurus (domestic cattle). RNAcentral describes it as "long non-coding RNA NONBTAT025211". The record is from RNAcentral. Lineage: Eukaryota; Metazoa; Chordata; Mammalia; Artiodactyla; Bovidae.
CUCUCACUGAAUAGUGUCUGAAUACAUAAAUAAAUAGUGUCUGAUCUGAAAAAGAUUGGCUUGCCUUCACCUAUAGGUGAAGUACCACUACAAAGUAACUUUAAGAGUAUCUCAAUAUCUUCCGAAAAAAUAAGAUACGGUUUUCAAAAUUAUCAAUCAUAUAUAAUGGUGAAGAAAAGGCUGUGGGUUAAUGAUAUUUUCAGUUCCAAGUAUACAGAAACAUCAUAAUGGCAGAGUUUGAAUUUUCUCACAAAUAAGAGAACUUAUUUAUAUAUACAUCAAUGAUGGCAUGUUUGCACUAGCUCAAAGAUGUGAAAGCCAGCAUCCAUGCAGUUUU